Molecule: long non-coding RNA, 1457 nt
Organism: Sorghum bicolor (sorghum)
Lineage: Eukaryota; Viridiplantae; Streptophyta; Magnoliopsida; Poales; Poaceae
Exons: 9
Source: RefSeq, a predicted model, not a curated record
UUAUAUUCUAUUCGGUUGACUGUCAUGGACAAAUUAUGUAUGAAUUGGAAUUGGAAUCGACUGUCCAGGGUGAUGUCAACAUGAGUCAGCUUUGGUACAGAUUUUCUUUAAUUCUAGUAAUCCAAAUUACUCAUUUGACUAUGUUUCUCUUGCUCAUAUUAUUAAUGUGUUUUAGUACUUGAUUAGCAGACAUUCUAGCAAUGAUGCAUCAUCUCAUUCAUUGCUGCAUUGCUUUGCUAUUGUCUGUUAUGCAGAGUGGUUCAUACCAACCCACAGGAUACUACAGAGGGUGCAAAUGAAUAUACGAUUCUUCCUUGCACUGUUUUUUGGAGAGAGUGCUGGAAGAGGACAAAGUGGUUGUUCAGGAAAUUCACUGCCUCCAUGGCGAGCAAAGGGCAACCUGAAUGUUAGUCGAUCAUAUCUGAUCCUGCACCCAGAGUUGAUCAAUAGAAGGAAUCAAUUGGGGAUAGCACUGUUGAUAUUGACGUCGAUCCAUGACAGUGAUAGUGACAUCGACAUGGGUGUGGUGUGGCAGAGAACAAGGACAUUAUGAGCCAAGAUGAAUCGCUUAUGGAUAUUGAUAGUGUAGACUCGGAGAACCUGCCUGCAGCAUAGAAUUUGUUAAAGAGCUUUACAAGUUUUACAGAGAAAAUGAGGUUGCCCUGGGUGUGGUCUAUACUGUACCUAAUGAGGAAUACCUGCAGAACCAUUCAAGGUUGGAGGAGAAUGAGGAUAGCUGCUUGAGGACAACUACCUUGAGUUCAUUGCCAAGAUGAUCCUUCAGCAAAGGUAUCCAAAGUAGAAGGCCUGUUAUUAUGCCUAAUUUGCUAGGCAUGGCAUUUCCUCGACAACCAGCUGUUAUAGACUCAUUUGUGGGUCGCCACUAUAGGCGCCGGGCUAGACAGACUAAGGCGAUUAAUCAAAUACAGGUUAAUCGUGGACUGUUGUAUACUUGGAUCAUUGGAUGGCAAUACCUCCACCAUCUCACCUCAAGCUGCUUGACAUUUCUGUUUCAUGGUUUCCCUGCUUCAGCUCUGAUCUCAUUUGUGUUAGCGAGCUGAUGUCGCUCAUGUUUUACUCAUAAAUUGGUAAUUAAAUCUAUAUAGUUCGCCACUGCGUCGAGGUAAUCUACCAUCAUAAGAUAUCAGAUCAGAGUGAUGACCAUUAUGUGUGCCUUAUGAUUUAGGUGUGUGGAGCCGAGGAGCACUGAGGAGUGAAACUUGGAGCUGGAGGUGCGAAGAUGGAUAGGAAAACUUAUUUUCUUUGAAUUAAUUUAUAAACUUAAAACUCUGCUAAACCAUCCCCUUGAUGAGAAUAUAAUGCAUGGAACAAGGCUGUGAUCUUUGUUCUGCAUACUUGAAUCAUGAUCCAAUUACUUUCUCAGACUAGGUGAGUUCCAGUGUGUAUGAGAGUAGUCAUGAAUCAUAGUCAUGAAUGGUUAAUACGAUUUUUGAUCA